GCAUAUCAAUAAGCGGAGGAAAAGAAACCAACAGGGAUUGCCUCAGUAACGGCGAGUGAAGCGGCAAAAGCUCAAAUUUGAAAUCUAGCACCUUCGGUGUUCGAGUUGUAAUUUGAAGAUGGUAACCUUGGGUUUGGCUCUUGUCUAUGUUCCUUGGAACAGGACGUCAUAGAGGGUGAGAAUCCCGUCUGAUGAGAUGCCCAUUCCUAUGUAAGGUGCUAUCGAAGAGUCGAGUUGUUUGGAAAUGCAGCUCUAAGUGGGUGGUAAAUUCCAUCUAAAGCUAAAUAUUGGCGAGAGACCGAUAGCGAACAAGUACAGUGAUGGAAAGAUGAAAAGAACUUUGAAAAGAGAGUGAAAAAGUACGUGAAAUUGUUGAAAGGGAAGGGCAUUAGAUCAGACUUGGUGUUUUACGAUUAUCUUCUCUUCUUGAGUUGUGCACUCGUAUUUCACUGGGCCAGCAUCGAUUCGGAUGGCAAGAUAAUGGCAGUUGAAUGUGGCUUCACUUCGGUGGAGUGUUAUAGCUUCUGCUGAUAUUGCCUGUCUGGAUCGAGGGCUGCGUCUUUUGACUAGGAUGCUGGCGUAAUGAUCUAAUGCCGCCCGUCUUGAAACACGGACC
This 616-nucleotide ribosomal RNA is filed under the name uncultured fungus. Its description in RNAcentral is "eukaryotic LSU rRNA". It matches the Rfam family "Eukaryotic large subunit ribosomal RNA", at positions 38 to 667 of the family's 3401-position model. Lineage: Eukaryota; Fungi. The record is from RNAcentral.